RNAcentral lists this ribosomal RNA (253 nucleotides) under uncultured bacterium. Its description in RNAcentral is "partial 16S ribosomal RNA". It matches the Rfam family "Bacterial small subunit ribosomal RNA", at positions 524 to 776 of the family's 1533-position model. The record is from RNAcentral.
UACGGAGGGUGCAAACGUUGCUCGGAAUCAUUGGGCGUAAAGCGCACGUAGGCGGUCCAGCAAGUCGGAUGUGAAAUCCCUCGGCUUAACUGAGGAAGUGCAUUCGAAACUGCUGGACCUGAAUAUGGAAGAGGGUCGCGGAAUUCCCGGUGUAGAGGUGAAAUUCGUAGAUAUCGGGAGGAACACCAGUGGCGAAGGCGGCGACCUGGGCCAAUAUUGACGCUGAGGUGCGAAAGCGUGGGUAGCAAACAGG